GAUGAACGCUGGCGGCGUGCCUAAUACAUGCAAGUCGAGCGAACAGACGAGGAGCUUGCUCCUCUGACGUUAGCGGCGGACGGGUGAGUAACACGUGGAUAACCUACCUAUAAGACUGGGAUAACUUCGGGAAACCGGAGCUAAUACCGGAUAAUAUAUUGAACCGCAUGGUUCAAUAGUGAAAGACGGUUUUGCUGUCACUUAUAGAUGGAUCCGCGCCGCAUUAGCUAGUUGGUAAGGUAACGGCUUACCAAGGCAACGAUGCGUAGCCGACCUGAGAGGGUGAUCGGCCACAGGGGAAGUGAGACGCGGUCCAGGGUCCUAGGGGGGGCAGCGGUGGGGAAUCUUGCGAAAUGGGCGAAAGACUGACGGAGCAACGCCGGGUGGGUGAAGAAGGGCUUCGGGUGGUAAAACUGUUUUAUGGGGGAAAAAAAAAUGUGUAAGUAACUAAGCCCGUCUUGAGGGUACCUAAAAAGAAACCCACGGUUAAUCCCGG
This 496-nucleotide ribosomal RNA is filed under the name uncultured bacterium. Its description in RNAcentral is "partial 16S ribosomal RNA". It matches the Rfam family "Bacterial small subunit ribosomal RNA", at positions 28 to 506 of the family's 1533-position model. The record is from RNAcentral.